RNAcentral lists this unclassified non-coding RNA (202 nucleotides) under Hevea brasiliensis (rubber tree). The record is from RNAcentral. Lineage: Eukaryota; Viridiplantae; Streptophyta; Magnoliopsida; Malpighiales; Euphorbiaceae.
AAGAAUAUAAUGUAUAUUGCCAUAAUCACUUGCCUGGAAAUUUGCUUUUCUGGGAUAGUAAUUCCAGGCAUAAUUUUUGAAUUCCAGUAAGUAAACAAUCAGUAAUAAUCUGUAUGAAAACCCAUGAACUUUAACAGAGACAUCAAUUGAGCCCUUGAACCUUUUUUUUUUUCUGAAUCUAUCAAGUUCAAUUCAUCCAAAU